This 207-nucleotide long non-coding RNA is filed under the name Elaeis guineensis (African oil palm). RNAcentral's name for it is "long non-coding RNA (EGUI_LNC040121)". The record is from RNAcentral. Lineage: Eukaryota; Viridiplantae; Streptophyta; Magnoliopsida; Arecales; Arecaceae.
AGAAUCGACAGAAGAGCUUGAGAAAAUCAUAGCUGACUACUCCAAUUCCACUCAUAGUGAAGCAAUUGGUGCAACUUCGGUAGGAAUGGAUGCAGGCACAACCUUCGAAGGUGGAGCAGCUUUGAAGCACCCUUUGACAGCCUUGGCAGAUGGAGCCCCAUCUCCUACAACUCAUUCCUUGGCCCCUCCUCCUUCCUCUUCUACCUC